This is a long non-coding RNA of Arabidopsis thaliana (thale cress), 362 nucleotides long. RefSeq annotates it as other RNA. The transcript has a single exon. NCBI's taxonomy places the organism in Eukaryota, Viridiplantae, Streptophyta, Magnoliopsida, Brassicales, Brassicaceae. The record is from RefSeq.
GGGAGCUGUUCGUAUGUUCCUGUGUUGGGGCUAAAACCACCGGUCACCAUUGUCUGGUACACAGCGUAAGCGUGCUCAGGUUUUCCAGACAAACUGUAUCCGCGGAUCAGAGCGUUAAAUGUAAAAACAUUCGGUUCAAGACCUGCUCUUUGAAUCUCAUUGUAAAUCUUCCCAGCUUCUUCCACCAUCCCGGCGAUACCCAAGUUUAGAAUCAAGGAGUUGUAAGUGUAGAGAUCAGGGGUGAUUCCUCUGCUGGUCUUCAUCUCGUUGAAAAGCACAAGAGCUUCUUCAAGUCUAUGAGAUUUCCCAAGUCCAUUGAUUAUGAGAUUGUAACAUACUACAUCGGGAUUGAGGCCUGAUUC